ACGAGAAGCUUACUAGCGGCCGUCAGGUGUCCGAACGCCGAACCAGCUAUCGCGAACCUGGUGAUAGUGGACGCUCGGAUCGUAGACGUUGGUGGCGAGUUUCAGAACGCUCGGCGACAGACGUCCAAUCGAGUUCAGCACACUGUAGGAUGCAACGACCCGGUCGUGCUGCGCCGUCACCAGUGCGACGCGCGCAUUCACCAGCGCCUGCUGCGCGUUGAGG
RNAcentral lists this unclassified non-coding RNA (223 nucleotides) under Hevea brasiliensis (rubber tree). Lineage: Eukaryota; Viridiplantae; Streptophyta; Magnoliopsida; Malpighiales; Euphorbiaceae. The record is from RNAcentral.